UGAUAGCGUAGAAGCGCGAGGUUGCUGCAGAUUCUGCAGGUUUUCCGUGGAGCGAAUGUCAAGUUAUGAAACUGGCGACAA
RNAcentral lists this non-coding RNA (81 nucleotides) under human gut metagenome. Its description in RNAcentral is "S10-Clostridia ribosomal protein leader". It matches the Rfam family "S10-Clostridia ribosomal protein leader". The record is from RNAcentral.